AGUGAACGCUGGCGGUAUGCCUAACACAUGCCAGUCGAACGGCAGCACAGUAAGAGCUUGCUCUUACGGGUGUCGAGUGGCGGACGGGUGAGGAAUACACCGGAAUCUACUUUUUCGUGGGGGAUAACGCAGGGAAACGUACGCUAAUACCGCAUACGACCUACUGGUGAAAGCAGGGGAUCUUCGGACCUUGCGCGAUUGAAUGAGCCGAUGUUGGAUUAGCUAGUUGGCGGGGUAGAGGCGCACCAAGGCGACGAUCCGUAGCUGGUAUGAGAGGAUCAUCCGCUAGCCUGUAUCUGAGACAGGGUCCACACACCUGCGGGGGGCAGCAGCGGGGAAUAUUGGAGAAUGGGGCAGAGGGUGAUCCAGCAAUACCGGGUGAGGGAAGAACGACUUCUGGUGGUAAAGCCCUUUUGUUGUGAAAGAAAUAAAGCAGGUUAACACCCCGUGAUUCUGACGGUACCCAAAGAAUAAGCUCCGGCUAACUUCGUG
This 492-nucleotide ribosomal RNA is filed under the name uncultured bacterium. RNAcentral's name for it is "partial 16S ribosomal RNA". It matches the Rfam family "Bacterial small subunit ribosomal RNA", at positions 29 to 507 of the family's 1533-position model. The record is from RNAcentral.